UACGUAGGGGGCUAGCGUUGUCCGGAUUUAUUGGGCGUAAAGAGCGUGUAGGCGGCCAAGUAGGUCCGGUGUGAAAACUCGAGGCUUAACCUCGAGAUGUCAUCGGAAACCAUUUGGCUAGAGUCCGGAAGAGGAAAGUGGAAUUCCUGGUGUAGCGGUGAAAUGCGCAGAUAUCGAGAGGAACACCUGCGGCGAAGGCGGGUUGCUGGGCUGAUACUGACGCUGAGGCGCGAAAGCCAGGGGAGCGAACGGG
Molecule: ribosomal RNA, 253 nt
Filed under: uncultured bacterium
Lineage: Bacteria
Description: partial 16S ribosomal RNA
Rfam family: Bacterial small subunit ribosomal RNA
Source: RNAcentral